RNAcentral lists this ribosomal RNA (254 nucleotides) under uncultured bacterium. RNAcentral describes it as "partial 16S ribosomal RNA". It matches the Rfam family "Bacterial small subunit ribosomal RNA", at positions 524 to 776 of the family's 1533-position model. The record is from RNAcentral.
UACGGGGGGGGCAAGCGUUGUUCGGAAUUACUGGGCGUAAAGGGCUCGUAGGCGGCCACCGCAAGUCGGUUGUGAAAUCUCUGGGCUUAACCCAGAAAGGUCAACCGAUACUGCGGGGCUAGAGUGCAGAAGGGGCAACUGGAAUUCUCGGUGUAGCGGUGAAAUGCGUAGAUAUCGAGAGGAACACCUGCGGCGAAGGCGGGUUGCUGGGCUGACACUGACGCUGAAGUGCGAAAGCUAGGGGAGCGAACGGG